RNAcentral lists this ribosomal RNA (429 nucleotides) under uncultured bacterium. RNAcentral describes it as "partial 16S ribosomal RNA". It matches the Rfam family "Bacterial small subunit ribosomal RNA", at positions 338 to 795 of the family's 1533-position model. The record is from RNAcentral.
CCUACGGGAGGCAGCAGUCGGGAAUUUUGGGCAAUGGGCGCAAGCCUGACCCAGCAACGCCGCGUGAAGGAUGAAAUCCCUCGGGAUGUAAACUUCGCAGAGAAGAGGACGGUACCGUUUGUAAGCUCCGGCUAACUCCGUGCCAGCAGCCGCGGUAAUACGGGGGGAGCAAGCGUUGUUCGGAUUUACUGGGCGUAAAGGGCGCGUAGGCGGUAGUGCAAGUCAGUUGUGAAAUCUCCGGGCUUAACUCGGAAAGGUCAACUGAUACUGCUCGACUAGAGUGCGGAAGGGGCAACUGGAAUUCUUGGUGUAGCGGUGAAAUGCGUAGAUAUCAAGAGGAACACCUGCGGCGAAGGCGGGUUGCUGGGCCGAACUGACGCUGAUGCGCGAAAGCUAGGGGAGCGAACGGGAUUAGAUACCCUUGUAGUC